This 253-nucleotide ribosomal RNA is filed under the name uncultured bacterium. Its description in RNAcentral is "partial 16S ribosomal RNA". It matches the Rfam family "Bacterial small subunit ribosomal RNA", at positions 524 to 776 of the family's 1533-position model. The record is from RNAcentral.
UACGUAGGGGGCAAGCGUUGUCCGGAAUCAUUGGGCGUAAAGAGCGUGUAGGCGGCUCGGUAAGUCCGCUGUAAAAGUCAAAGGCUCAACCUUUGAAUGUCAGUGGAUACUGCCGGGCUAGAGUCCGGAAGAGGCGAGUGGAACUCCUGGUGUAGCGGUGGAAUGCGCAGAUAUCAGGAAGAACACCCGUGGCGAAGGCGGCUCUCUGGGACGGUACUGACGCUGAGACGCGAAAGCGUGGGGAGCGAACAGG